Molecule: long non-coding RNA, 306 nt
Organism: Triticum aestivum (bread wheat)
Lineage: Eukaryota; Viridiplantae; Streptophyta; Magnoliopsida; Poales; Poaceae
Exons: 3
Source: RefSeq, a predicted model, not a curated record
UAUAGAUCGUGAUUUCCGGGAUCCAAGUUUUGGGCUCCAGCUUCAUGAGACUGAAUUUUGUUCAAGGCUAACAGUGAAAAUUUUAUUUGUAAAAUAUGGCGAUCCCUAUAGUGGUAUUUCUGAAGCUUCGCUAUGCUUGCUUUCCCACCAACAAGCAGUAAUCCAAUCACUGGUGCACCAGCGGCCAUCCACCAGGACGAUGCUGACAGCCAAAGAAAGCUCCUUCCCCACCGCUGACAGCCGAAACCGCUCUUGUGCUCAUCAAGGUCCCUUUCACCUCUCUAACCUCUGUGUUAACUCUGUCUG